RNAcentral lists this unclassified non-coding RNA (202 nucleotides) under Pediococcus acidilactici. RNAcentral's name for it is "16S-23S ribosomal RNA intergenic spacer". Lineage: Bacteria; Bacillati; Bacillota; Bacilli; Lactobacillales; Lactobacillaceae. The record is from RNAcentral.
AAGGAAUAAUACGGAACCGCACACGAGUCAAAGUUUUGUUUAGUUUUGAGAGGUCUACUCUCACUUUUGUUCUUUGAAAACUGAAUAAUAUCUAUAAUUUUCUAAUUUUAAUUAAUCAUAAUUAAACCGAGAGAAAACCGCGUAAUUUUAAAGAGUUAAACAAGAUUAGUUCAAAAUAAUCGCAAUACUCAAUUAAUCGCUU